AGUGAACGCUGGCGGCAGGCCUAACACAUGCAAGUCGAGCGGCAGCGCGUCCGACCACCCUCGGGUGGUCGGAUGGCGGCGAGCGGCGGACGGGUGAGGAAUGCAUCGGAAUCUGCCUCGUUGUGGGGGAUAACGUAGGGAAACUUACGCUAAUACCGCAUACGACCUACGGGUGAAAGUGGGGGACCUUCGGGCCUCACGCGAUGAGAUGAGCCGAUGCCGGAUUAGCUAGUUGGCGGGGUAAAGGCCCACCAAGGCGACGAUCCGUAGCUGGUCUGAGAGGAUGAUCAGCCACACUGGAACUGAGACACGGUCCAGACUCCUACGGGAGGCAGCAGUGGGGAAUAUUGGACAAUGGGGGCAACCCUGAUCCAGCCAUGCCGCGUGUGUGAAGAAGGCCUUGGUUGUAAG
Molecule: ribosomal RNA, 411 nt
Filed under: uncultured bacterium
Lineage: Bacteria
Description: bacterial SSU rRNA
Rfam family: Bacterial small subunit ribosomal RNA
Source: RNAcentral